Molecule: ribosomal RNA, 496 nt
Filed under: uncultured bacterium
Lineage: Bacteria
Description: partial 16S ribosomal RNA
Rfam family: Bacterial small subunit ribosomal RNA
Source: RNAcentral
GAUGAACGCUGGCGGCGUGCCUAAUACAUGCAAGUCGAGCGAACGGAUGAGAAGCUUGCUUCUCUGAUGUUAGCGGCGGACGGGUGAGUAACACGUGGAUAACCUACCUAUAAGACUUGGAUAACUUCGGGAAACCGGAGCUAAUACCGGAUAAUAUUUUGAACCGCAUGGUUCAAAAGUGAAAGACGGUCUUGCUGUCACUUAUAGAUGGAUCCGCGCUGCAUUAGCUAGUUGGUAAGGUAACGGCUUACCAAGGCAACGAUGCAUAGCCGACCUGAGAGGGUGAUCGGCCACACUGGAACUGAGACACGGUCCAGACUCCUACGGGAGGCAGCAGUAGGGAAUCUUCCGCAAUGGGCGAAAGCCUGACGGAGCAACGCCGUGUGAGUGAUGAAGGUCUUCGGAUCGUAAAACUCUGUUAUUAGGGAAGAACAUAUGUGUAAGUAACUGUGCACAUCUUGACGGUACCUAAUCAGAAAGCCACGGCUAACUACGU